RNAcentral lists this long non-coding RNA (374 nucleotides) under Vigna radiata. RNAcentral describes it as "long non-coding RNA (VRAD_LNC000314)". The record is from RNAcentral. Lineage: Eukaryota; Viridiplantae; Streptophyta; Magnoliopsida; Fabales; Fabaceae.
GGGUGGGAGAAAAUCGGACCCAGAAUAGGAAAAAGGUGACCCANAUCAGNUANGAAAUAGAACUAGGAAUCAAAGAAAAUGAUGAUGCAAAAGAGACCCACAACAGAGAAAAAGCUAGAACUAAAUAUGCAUGUCAUGAUUUUUGUUACAUGACCACCAAUACUAUGUCGUGUGUCCUAGAAGAAAAGGCCAAAAUUGAUCUUGCAGGACCCUGAGCGUAGAAAGAAGUGUUUUUUGUGUGAAAAAAUGGGAGUGUUGAAUAUUCUGAGAGAACAUUGCUUAUCUGAAGCAAAAGAAUGAUUAAGGUUUCCCUUCAAAGGGAAAAAGAAGAAUUUAGAAAUGAAUAAAGAAAUUUUGGAAAGUGGUGAAGGAAU